ACUGAUUGAUGGUGCUUGCACCUGAUUGACGAUGGAUCACCAGUGAGUGGCGGACGGGUGAGUAACACGUAGGUAACCUGCCCCGGAGCGGGGGAUAACAUUUGGAAACAGAUGCUAAUACCGCAUAACAACAAAAGCCACAUGGCUUUUGUUUGAAAGAUGGCUUUGGCUAUCACUCUGGGAUGGACCUGCGGUGCAUUAGCUAGUUGGUAAGGUAACGGCUUACCAAGGCGAUGAUGCAUAGCCGAGUUGAGAGACUGAUCGGCCACAAUGGAACUGAGACACGGUCCAUACUCCUACGGGAGGCAGCAGUAGGGAAUCUUCCACAAUGGGCGCAAGCCUGAUGGAGCAACACCGCGUGAGUGAAGAAGGGUUUCGGCUCGUAAAGCUCUGUUGUUGGAGAAGAACGUGCGUGAGAGUAACUGUUCACGCAGUGACGGUAUCCA
RNAcentral lists this ribosomal RNA (446 nucleotides) under Limosilactobacillus reuteri. RNAcentral describes it as "bacterial SSU rRNA". It matches the Rfam family "Bacterial small subunit ribosomal RNA", at positions 65 to 481 of the family's 1533-position model. The record is from RNAcentral. Lineage: Bacteria; Bacillati; Bacillota; Bacilli; Lactobacillales; Lactobacillaceae.